Molecule: ribosomal RNA, 2925 nt
Filed under: Escherichia coli
Lineage: Bacteria; Pseudomonadati; Pseudomonadota; Gammaproteobacteria; Enterobacterales; Enterobacteriaceae
Description: 23S ribosomal RNA
Rfam family: Bacterial large subunit ribosomal RNA
Source: RNAcentral
GGGUUGUGAGGUUAAGCGACUAAGCGUACACGGUGGAUGCCCUGGCAGUCAGAGGCGAUGAAGGACGUGCUAAUCUGCGAUAAGCGUCGGUAAGGUGAUAUGAACCGUUAUAACCGGCGAUUUCCGAAUGGGGAAACCCAGUGUGUUUCGACACACUAUCAUUAACUGAAUCCAUAGGUUAAUGAGGCGAACCGGGGGAACUGAAACAUCUAAGUACCCCGAGGAAAAGAAAUCAACCGAGAUUCCCCCAGUAGCGGCGAGCGAACGGGGAGGAGCCCAGAGCCUGAAUCAGUGUGUGUGUUAGUGGAAGCGUCUGGAAAGGCGCGCGAUACAGGGUGACAGCCCCGUACACAAAAAUGCACAUGCUGUGAGCUCGAUGAGUAGGGCGGGACACGUGGUAUCCUGUCUGAAUAUGGGGGGACCAUCCUCCAAGGCUAAAUACUCCUGACUGACCGAUAGUGAACCAGUACCGUGAGGGAAAGGCGAAAAGAACCCCGGCGAGGGGAGUGAAAAAGAACCUGAAACCGUGUACGUACAAGCAGUGGGAGCACGCUUAGGCGUGUGACUGCGUACCUUUUGUAUAAUGGGUCAGCGACUUAUAUUCUGUAGCAAGGUUAACCGAAUAGGGGAGCCGAAGGGAAACCGAGUCUUAACUGGGCGUUAAGUUGCAGGGUAUAGACCCGAAACCCGGUGAUCUAGCCAUGGGCAGGUUGAAGGUUGGGUAACACUAACUGGAGGACCGAACCGACUAAUGUUGAAAAAUUAGCGGAUGACUUGUGGCUGGGGGUGAAAGGCCAAUCAAACCGGGAGAUAGCUGGUUCUCCCCGAAAGCUAUUUAGGUAGCGCCUCGUGAAUUCAUCUCCGGGGGUAGAGCACUGUUUCGGCAAGGGGGUCAUCCCGACUUACCAACCCGAUGCAAACUGCGAAUACCGGAGAAUGUUAUCACGGGAGACACACGGCGGGUGCUAACGUCCGUCGUGAAGAGGGAAACAACCCAGACCGCCAGCUAAGGUCCCAAAGUCAUGGUUAAGUGGGAAACGAUGUGGGAAGGCCCAGACAGCCAGGAUGUUGGCUUAGAAGCAGCCAUCAUUUAAAGAAAGCGUAAUAGCUCACUGGUCGAGUCGGCCUGCGCGGAAGAUGUAACGGGGCUAAACCAUGCACCGAAGCUGCGGCAGCGACGCUUAUGCGUUGUUGGGUAGGGGAGCGUUCUGUAAGCCUGUGAAGGUGUGCUGUGAGGCAUGCUGGAGGUAUCAGAAGUGCGAAUGCUGACAUAAGUAACGAUAAAGCGGGUGAAAAGCCCGCUCGCCGGAAGACCAAGGGUUCCUGUCCAACGUUAAUCGGGGCAGGGUGAGUCGACCCCUAAGGCGAGGCCGAAAGGCGUAGUCGAUGGGAAACAGGUUAAUAUUCCUGUACUUGGUGUUACUGCGAAGGGGGGACGGAGAAGGCUAUGUUGGCCGGGCGACGGUUGUCCCGGUUUAAGCGUGUAGGCUGGUUUUCCAGGCAAAUCCGGAAAAUCAAGGCUGAGGCGUGAUGACGAGGCACUACGGUGCUGAAGCAACAAAUGCCCUGCUUCCAGGAAAAGCCUCUAAGCAUCAGGUAACAUCAAAUCGUACCCCAAACCGACACAGGUGGUCAGGUAGAGAAUACCAAGGCGCUUGAGAGAACUCGGGUGAAGGAACUAGGCAAAAUGGUGCCGUAACUUCGGGAGAAGGCACGCUGAUAUGUAGGUGAAGUCCCUCGCGGAUGGAGCUGAAAUCAGUCGAAGAUACCAGCUGGCUGCAACUGUUUAUUAAAAACACAGCACUGUGCAAACACGAAAGUGGACGUAUACGGUGUGACGCCUGCCCGGUGCCGGAAGGUUAAUUGAUGGGGUCAGCGCAAGCGAAGCUCUUGAUCGAAGCCCCGGUAAACGGCGGCCGUAACUAUAACGGUCCUAAGGUAGCGAAAUUCCUUGUCGGGUAAGUUCCGACCUGCACGAAUGGCGUAAUGAUGGCCAGGCUGUCUCCACCCGAGACUCAGUGAAAUUGAACUCGCUGUGAAGAUGCAGUGUACCCGCGGCAAGACGGAAAGACCCCGUGAACCUUUACUAUAGCUUGACACUGAACAUUGAGCCUUGAUGUGUAGGAUAGGUGGGAGGCUUUGAAGUGUGGACGCCAGUCUGCAUGGAGCCGACCUUGAAAUACCACCCUUUAAUGUUUGAUGUUCUAACGUUGACCCGUAAUCCGGGUUGCGGACAGUGUCUGGUGGGUAGUUUGACUGGGGCGGUCUCCUCCUAAAGAGUAACGGAGGAGCACGAAGGUUGGCUAAUCCUGGUCGGACAUCAGGAGGUUAGUGCAAUGGCAUAAGCCAGCUUGACUGCGAGCGUGACGGCGCGAGCAGGUGCGAAAGCAGGUCAUAGUGAUCCGGUGGUUCUGAAUGGAAGGGCCAUCGCUCAACGGAUAAAAGGUACUCCGGGGAUAACAGGCUGAUACCGCCCAAGAGUUCAUAUCGACGGCGGUGUUUGGCACCUCGAUGUCGGCUCAUCACAUCCUGGGGCUGAAGUAGGUCCCAAGGGUAUGGCUGUUCGCCAUUUAAAGUGGUACGCGAGCUGGGUUUAGAACGUCGUGAGACAGUUCGGUCCCUAUCUGCCGUGGGCGCUGGAGAACUGAGGGGGGCUGCUCCUAGUACGAGAGGACCGGAGUGGACGCAUCACUGGUGUUCGGGUUGUCAUGCCAAUGGCACUGCCCGGUAGCUAAAUGCGGAAGAGAUAAGUGCUGAAAGCAUCUAAGCACGAAACUUGCCCCGAGAUGAGUUCUCCCUGACUCCUUGAGAGUCCUGAAGGAACGUUGAAGACGACGACGUUGAUAGGCCGGGUGUGUAAGCGCAGCGAUGCGUUGAGCUAACCGGUACUAAUGAACCGUGAGGCUUAACCUUACAACGCCGAAG